UACGUAGGGGGCAAGCGUUGUCCGGAUUUAUUGGGCGUAAAGAGCGUGUAGGCGGCUAGGUAGGUCCGUUGUGAAAACUCGAGGCUCAACCUCGAGACGUCGAUGGAAACCAUCUAGCUAGAGUCCGGAAGAGGAGAGUGGAAUUCCUGGUGUAGCGGUGAAAUGCGCAGAUAUCAGGAGGAACACCCGUGGCGAAAGCGGCUCUCUGGGACGGUACUGACGCUGAGACGCGAAAGCGUGGGGAGCAAACAGG
Molecule: ribosomal RNA, 253 nt
Filed under: uncultured bacterium
Lineage: Bacteria
Description: partial 16S ribosomal RNA
Rfam family: Bacterial small subunit ribosomal RNA
Source: RNAcentral